AUGUUUCUUUUCUUCAUCAUUAACAACACAACCAUCACUCAAACCACCGUUAAAACUACAAAAACCACCAUUUAAACCACCAUUAAAACCACACAAAAAAAAAAAACCCACAUAAAACCACAAAAAAUCACACAAUCAUCACUACAAAUCAACAUAAAACCACCAUAAAUCAACACAAAAAACACAAUCAUUACCAAAAACAAAAC
Molecule: long non-coding RNA, 206 nt
Filed under: Medicago truncatula (barrel medic)
Lineage: Eukaryota; Viridiplantae; Streptophyta; Magnoliopsida; Fabales; Fabaceae
Description: long non-coding RNA (MTRU_LNC007635)
Source: RNAcentral